Molecule: long non-coding RNA, 1058 nt
Filed under: Anas platyrhynchos platyrhynchos (common mallard)
Lineage: Eukaryota; Metazoa; Chordata; Aves; Anseriformes; Anatidae
Description: lncRNA (ENSAPLG00000031229.1)
Source: RNAcentral
AUGUCCACCACUAUUUUGUUUUCAUGGUACCCACAUUUGUCUCAUGGAUCCAGCGUUCUUUCUCCUUGCACUGUUAGUUCCAGGGCUUGUAGGAAUUUACAGUUCAGGUGUAAAUUGAAAAAUGUUGACCAACUGCUGGAGAUAAGGCACAGAAAAUUAUGGAGGUGGUGGAAGGACAAGAAGGAGAGUGAACAAGUGAGGAAGACAAAGACCUGAAAGUUGGAGAGAUGAAGGCUAAGACAGAAGUCACUCAAUUCUUGAAUUUACUGAGGAAAGUGACAGACGGGACUGUGGAGUAGUACAAAUGUGUCCCAUGUCAUAAGACUUCAUUCCUAUUGCCUGCUGGCUCACGACUUCACAAAGGAGCUAUGGAUGGGACAGAACCCAAGAGGAAAACUAACAGCCUUGGUCUGAGGAAUGUUUUCAUGAGCAAUGGCUUUUCGCCCUUGAGAGUCAAUUCUCCAAACAGAAGAAAAGCCAAUGAGCACCUCAUUCAGGAUGGGCUGAGCACACUUCUAAUCUUACAGGGUUCUUCAUGUGAAAGGCUGAGCACUAGGGGUCAGAAAUCACUAGACAUUCUCUUUUAUAAAGCAGCAAUUGUUCACAAAUUUUCUGCAUACUUUGAAUACAAUUUGUUUCGACUGGUUUUAAAGAAUGUGAUUUGCUAUUUGUUCUUGGGGACAUCACCUACCAUUGUAUUUGCAACAACACAACAACAACAACAACAACAACAACAACAACAUUGGCCUACUGCAGUAUUUGUUUUCUUUGUUGUUUCAGGUUUCAGGUUAUUACAUGCAUAUCCUUCCAUACAAAUGAGAUAUGCUGGAUAUUACAGCUGUUUCUACAGAACUAGAGAAAAAGUGCACAGCAUGCUGGAGCACUGAGGAGUAAAACAAGAAGGAUGGGUCACCUAUGGCAGCAUGAGACGAGGACCUGCUGAGUCCACUGGUGCAACUCAGACAAAGUAAAUGUCCAGCCAUUUGUAUCUCUACCUAUCACAAACCAUUUCCAGGAGUUCACCGAGCUGGAAUAAAGCUCAAUAAAAACUUUGUCCA